Molecule: ribosomal RNA, 301 nt
Filed under: uncultured bacterium
Lineage: Bacteria
Description: partial 16S ribosomal RNA
Rfam family: Bacterial small subunit ribosomal RNA
Source: RNAcentral
CAGCCGCCGCGGUAAUACGUAGGGUGCAAGCGUUAAUCGGAAUUACUGGGCGUAAAGCGUGCGCAGGCGGUCCGCUAAGACAGAUGUGAAAUCCCCGGGCUUAACCUGGGAACUGCAUUUGUGACUGGCGGGCUAGAGUAUGGCAGAGGGGGGUAGAAUUCCACGUGUAGCAGUGAAAUGCGUAGAGAUGUGGAGGAAUACCGAUGGCGAAGGCAGCCCCCUGGGCCAAUACUGACGCUCAUGCACGAAAGCGUGGGGAGCAAACAGGAUUAGAUACCCGAGUAGUCCCUGUCUCUUAUAC